GUGGGAGCUGGCUUGCCAGCGAUGGCGGUGGGUCAGCCAACAUCAAAUUGACUGACAGAAUGCAAUCGCUGGCAAGCCAGCUCCCAC
RNAcentral lists this unclassified non-coding RNA (87 nucleotides) under Pseudomonas sp. Z003-0.4C(8344-21). Lineage: Bacteria; Pseudomonadati; Pseudomonadota; Gammaproteobacteria; Pseudomonadales; Pseudomonadaceae. The record is from RNAcentral.